RNAcentral lists this small RNA (436 nucleotides) under Arabidopsis thaliana (thale cress). RNAcentral describes it as "ATSL270620". The record is from RNAcentral. Lineage: Eukaryota; Viridiplantae; Streptophyta; Magnoliopsida; Brassicales; Brassicaceae.
GAGUUUAAAAGCCUAAGUAGGGUUGCCUUGUUAGAAGAUACAAAGCAAAAGACUCAUACGGAGUUUAGCUACACCAUCAAUGCUUUGAGAAGCAAGAAGAAGCUUGGUUAGUGUUUUGGAGUCAAAUAUGACUAGAUGUCAUGUGUAUGAGUGAGUAUAACAACUAAAACCGCAACCGAAUCUUAAAAGCCUAAGUAUUGUAUCCUGGUUAGAAGAUAUAAAGACAAAUACUCAUACGGACUUCGGCUACACCAUCAAAGUUUUGAGAAGCAAGAAGAAGCUUGUUAGUGUUUUGGAGUCGAAUAUGACUUGAUAUCAUGUGUAUGAUUGACUAAAAGAACUUAAACCGCAUCUAGAGCUUAAAUGGCCUAAGUAGUGUUUCCUUGUUUGACGACACAAAGCCAAAGACUCGUACGGAGUUUAGCUACACCAUCAC